RNAcentral lists this transfer RNA (72 nucleotides) under Sphaerodactylus townsendi. Its description in RNAcentral is "tRNA-Ala". It matches the Rfam family "tRNA". Rfam says of the family: Transfer RNA (tRNA) molecules are approximately 80 nucleotides in length. Their secondary structure includes four short double-helical elements and three loops (D, anti-codon, and T loops). The record is from RNAcentral. Lineage: Eukaryota; Metazoa; Chordata; Lepidosauria; Squamata; Sphaerodactylidae.
AGGAAUGUUGUUCAGUGGUAGAGCAUCGGCUUGGCAUUCAGAAGGUUCCAGGUUCAAUCCCUGGCAUCUCCA